AUUCUUGAUGUUUUCUUUGAAAGGAAUUCUGAUUUUCCCUCUUUAUUCCAGGGAUAUUAGAAUAUUUGUAUGGCCUCUCAGGAACAGGCUUUCAUUAGCUGCGAGUCCAGAAGGGAAUUUACAGAGGAAGGCAAGGCCAGAAGCCGAAGUGUAAGAACAUGUGUCUUGAUGUGCCUGACUUUUAAGGGAAAACCGAAUCCCCCCGUUGGCACACGUGAAUCCCUCCCGCGGUCCCUCUGAAGCUUCCCAGCCAGAAGAGGGACGUGUGACACGGCAGCGUCGGCGUUUUGUUAUGAAGUAGCCAUGCGCCCACUGCUGACAAAAAGAAGGCAGGAAAAAAAUGUACAGAUGCCUGGAAAUGUUUUUGUAUCAGUCCCAGUGGCCUGCCAUGAAAGAUAUAUAGCCACUUCUAAGAAUUUGACAACACUUCAGCAACAAUUAUCCAGACAGCCUUUGUUUCCUGGCUCUGAUGAUGUUUCCUUAAAGAGGAUGCCAUGUGCUUGUUCUACAGCUGCCUGUGGCCAUCAGGAAUGGAUGCACACGGAAGAGUCUGGGCAAACACAUGUCUGUAAGUAAGUUUGUGAUUUAAACAAAUCACCCUUGCGUUUGUGUUUGUGCCUCUAAACGGUAGGCUUCCUUUUGUAAUCUUGGCCUGAAAAAUAUGGUUAUUUUGGGCUGAGUUGGUAGUUAUCUGUCAAAC
Molecule: long non-coding RNA, 700 nt
Filed under: Numida meleagris (helmeted guineafowl)
Lineage: Eukaryota; Metazoa; Chordata; Aves; Galliformes; Numididae
Description: lncRNA (ENSNMEG00000000985.1)
Source: RNAcentral